RNAcentral lists this transfer RNA (69 nucleotides) under Capitulum mitella. RNAcentral's name for it is "tRNA-Glu". The record is from RNAcentral. Lineage: Eukaryota; Metazoa; Arthropoda; Thecostraca; Pollicipedomorpha; Pollicipedidae.
AUCUUUAUAGUGUAUUUCAACACACUUCAUUUUCGUUGAAGAGAAGAAGCUCCUUUGUUUCUUAAGAUG